UUCCGGUUGAUCCUGCCGGACCCGACUGCUAUCGGAUUGAGAUUUAGCCAUGCGAGUCGAACGCCUUCCUGUUGCGGGAGGCGUGGCGUACGGCUCAGUAACACGUAGUCAACCCGCCCUAGAGACAUGAAUAACCCCGGGAAACUGGGAUUAAUACAUGAUAGAUCAUCUCAUCUGGAAGGAGAGAUGGUUUAAAGGGGUGCGCGAGCUUCUUUUGUGCAUCCGCUCUAGGAUGGGACUGCGGCCGAUCAGGCUGUUGGUGGGGUAAUGGCCCACCAAACCUGUAACCGGUACGGGCCUUGAGAGAGGGGGCCCGGAGAUGGACACUGAGAGAAGGGUCCAGGUCCUACGGGGCGCAGCAGGCGCGAAACCUUCGCAAUGCGCGAAAGCGUGACGAGGUUAAUCCGAGUGGUUCCCGCUGAGGGAAUCUUUUGUUGGCUCUAAAAUGGCCAGUGAAUAAGGGGAGGGCAAGUCUGGUGUCAGCCGCCGCGGUAAUACCAGCUCCUCGAGUGGUCGGGGCGAUUAUUGGGCCUAAAGCAUCCGUAGCCGGUUCUGUAGGUCUUCUGUUAAAUCCAACGGCUUAACCGUUGGCCUGCAGAAGAUACCGCAGGACUAGGAGGCGGGAGAGGUGGACGGUACUCCACGUGUAGGGGUAAAAUCCUUUGAUCCGUGGAAGACCACCAGUGGCGAAGGCGGUCCACCAGAACGCGCUCGACGGUGAGGGAUGAAAGCUGGGGGAGCGAACCGGAUUAGAUACCCGGGUAGUCCCAGCCGUAAACGAUGCGAGCUAGAUGAUCCAAUCGCAAAUCGCGAUUGGAGUGUCGCAGGGAAGCCGUUAAGCUCGCCGCCUGGGGAGUACGGUCGCAAGACUGAAACUUAAAGGAAUUGGCGGG
This 893-nucleotide ribosomal RNA is filed under the name uncultured crenarchaeote. RNAcentral describes it as "bacterial SSU rRNA". It matches the Rfam family "Archaeal small subunit ribosomal RNA", at positions 1 to 872 of the family's 1478-position model. The record is from RNAcentral. Lineage: Archaea; Thermoproteati; Thermoproteota.